CGUGCGCAGGCGGUUAUGUAAGACAGAUGUGAAAUACCCCGGGCCGUCAACCUGGGAACUGCAUUAGUGACUGCAUAGCUGGAGUACGGCAGAGGGGGAGUGGAAUUCCGCGUGUAGCAGUGAAAUGCGUAGAUAUGCGGAGGAACACCGAUGGCGAAGGCAAUCCCCUGGGCCUGUACUGACGCUCAUGCACGAAAGCGUGGGGAGCAAACAGGAUUAGAUACCCUAGU
RNAcentral lists this ribosomal RNA (230 nucleotides) under uncultured bacterium. RNAcentral describes it as "partial 16S ribosomal RNA". It matches the Rfam family "Bacterial small subunit ribosomal RNA", at positions 567 to 791 of the family's 1533-position model. The record is from RNAcentral.